This 1635-nucleotide ribosomal RNA is filed under the name Triticum aestivum (bread wheat). Its description in RNAcentral is "partial small subunit ribosomal RNA". Lineage: Eukaryota; Viridiplantae; Streptophyta; Magnoliopsida; Poales; Poaceae. The record is from RNAcentral.
AUGAUCUUAAGUAGCACGCUGUCAGGGAUGGAACGGCACCCUGCCGAGCGGCAGAGGAGCCUCGUCCCCGAGACCCCGUCUCUUCCUCCUCCUUUCUCCUUGUUCCUGGUCCAUUUCCUUCUCCAAGACCAAGAGUCUCCACUCUCCAGCAAGCCCUUUCAAAAGAAGAAUCUCCAGCAAGCUUCGUUCUUCUCGGCGACGGGGCGGAGAAAUCCAGUUACAUCUACUAUGACUUCGGUUCCGGAGCUUCAAGCCAUCCAGGCCAAAAUGGGUUCAGCUGGGGAUGAGUUCACCCCACUGUCUCAGUUAGAAUAUGGAAUGGACAAAUGUAAAGUGCGGGUGCGCAUCUCGCGGCUGUGGGAGUCCUUCAAUCCAAAAGAUGACACUUUGUUCGGCCUUGACUGCCUUCUGAUCGACGAUCAGGGUAAAACUAUGCAGGCUCGUGUAGAACCUGGCGAUAUAGAGUGGUUUGAAGAUCUGCUAGUUGAAGGGAAGGUCUAUGUCUUGUCAGAUUUUCAUGUUGAUUCGCAGAGGGACUACUAUAUGUCCUGUAGCAAUGAGUGGACUAUGUACAUUAGAAGGCAGACGGUGGUCACUGAGAUGGAAGGAGAUAUUGAUUCGAUACCCCUCCACAGCUUUGAGUUUGUUAAAUUUAAGGAUCUCCGUUAUAGGUGCGAUGACAACAGCUUAUUGACUGAUGUUCUGGGUCACAUAGUAUAUGUUGGGGAGCUAGAGGAAGUCUCAAAAAAAUCACGCGUUAUAGAAAUUUGCAAUGCAAGAAUUCGGGAUUUGAGAGGAAGGGCACUGAGUGUGACACUGUUUGGAGAUGUUGCUUCUGGUUUUGCUGAGGAUAUGCUCGAGAAAGGCCAAGACGCCUCAGUUGUUGCUGUCUUUGCAGGGAUGUCUGUUACUUCCUCAUCAUCAGUUUGCUCUACAACAUCUUCAAUGUACUAUCUGGAUUUGGAAAUACCAGAGGUGCAAGAAUUCCGUGCGAAUUUGCUCAUUCAGCAGGCAAACCCUGUUCCAGAAAAAACUCCAGCUCAGAAGUUGGCCGAGAGUUGGCGAACAAUCAAACAGCUAAAAAGCCUCGAUCGAGAAGAGUACGAUGAGGAUACCAUGUUUUUGUGCAGAGUCUCCCUGAUAGAUGUAGAUUGCACCAAUGGUUGGUGCUAUCUUGGAUGCGACACCUGCCAAAAGUCGAUGUCCAGGGCUCCAAGGAAAUACAGGUGUGCCCGAUGUGGCCCGAUGAUGCCAGUUCAGUGGUACAAGCUGAAGGCGAAGGUGCAGGAUGCUACCGGCGCAAUGAACCUGAUGAUCUUCUGUGAGGUGGCGGAGGAGCUGGUCGGUGUCUCCGCGGAGGAGCUCGUGAAUAAGAUCGAGGACGAUGAUGAGUGGUACAGCCUGCCAGACGAAAUCGAGGAUCUUAUUGGCUCGACGCACACCUUCGAGGUUUUCGACAAGUACAUGGACGGGAGCUUCUCGGUGAGGUCGAUCAUGGACGAUGCUAGCGUCCCAGCCCCUGCUGCAGCCGCUAGUCAAUGCAAGGAGGAGAAAGCUGACCCUGAGGGAAGCCAGAAGCCUAACAAGCGGCUGCGAGGCGACGACGACUUGAUCAACCUAGAUCUAGGGUUAUAG